Molecule: small RNA, 587 nt
Filed under: Pongo abelii (Sumatran orangutan)
Lineage: Eukaryota; Metazoa; Chordata; Mammalia; Primates; Hominidae
Description: processed transcript
Source: RNAcentral
ACUUAUCUGCUGCCUGUUAACUGUGCCUGUGUUGGCUGUUUAUUCAACUUUAUUUCUGGAUUAGAUUCAUAUUUCAUAAUGAAUUGGGUUCAGGGAUGAUCACUUUCAAGCUGCAGGCAAUGGUCGAGACAGUUAACAACCUCCUUCAACCACAAGCUUUGAAUGCAUGGAGAGACCUGACUACGAGCGAUCAGCUGCGUGCGGCCACCAUGUUGCUUCAUACUGUGGAGGAAAGUGCUUUUGUGCUGGCUGAUAACCUUUUGAAGACUGACAUUGUCAGGGAGAACACAGACAAUAUUAAAUUGGAAGUUGCAAGACUGAGCACAGAAGGAAGCUUAGAAGACCUAAAAUUUCCAGAAAACAUGGGCCACGGAAGCACUAUCCAGUUGUCUGCAAAUACUUUAAAGCAAAAUGGCCGAAAUGGAGAGAUCAGAGUGGCCUUUGUCCUGUAUAACAACUUGGGUCCUUAUUUGUCCACGGAGAAUGCCAGUAUGAAGUUGGGAACGGAAGCUUUGUCGACAAAUCAUUCUGUUAUUGUCAAUUCCCCUGUUAUUACGGCAGCAAUAAACAAAGAGUUCAGUAACAAG